UUUACCGCUUGACUCCUGUCCCAAUCUAACCUAGUGGGUUUAAAAAGAAGAAACCGCGCUGGAAACAUGAGUAGAUUAAAAGGAUCAGCCCUUUUUGAAUUAAUAGUCGAAGUGGUAACCAGCUAGAAGUCGUAACCUGCUCGUAUGAAAGGAUUUCUCGACGUGAAAUUGUUAAUUUUAUUCAACAACGCCAAGAAACAGAGCUCGCUCAAGAAA
Long non-coding RNA from Hydra vulgaris (swiftwater hydra), 216 nucleotides. RefSeq lists it as uncharacterized. Lineage: Eukaryota; Metazoa; Cnidaria; Hydrozoa; Anthoathecata; Hydridae. The record is from RefSeq and is a predicted model, not a curated record.